CGCGGCCCCGCUUCCAGCACUGCGCCGCGGCCGGCAAACGCCACCAGGCCCGCAGCCGGGCGUUGCACCGACACGAGGCAGGUCUCCGGCGCGGAGAGCGGGCUCGCCGGCGGUGAUGGAUGCAGGGGAGGCGCCCGGCACACAGUAGGCGCGCAACACCUGCCCACAGCACCCCUCUGAAGGAGAGCUGACAGGCCAGGUGAGAGGUGGAAGUAUUUCAGGCCAUGUCAGCAUCUUCAUGUCAUCAAAGUCCUUCCUGAACUCCAACAGUGUGUGGCCUACUAUAUGCUCCAUCUUGGGACAAUAUACUAAUGGCUAUCCAUUCGAGAUUGGCAAUGCAAAGGCCUCCAGCCCUACCUCAGAGCUAACAGGGCAUGAAUGCGUCAGGGGGUCGCUCUUCUCUUCUAAGGGCCACAAAAGACAAACGUGAUGGAAAGCUGCCUGAUGGGCAGAGCAAUGCUACUCCUCCUUUGUCAUCUGGUUUUCAAGAUCAUGCAAAGGCGUACCAACAUAUUCUAGAGUCGGUGAGCCUGAAAAUGACCCAGAAAAGUCUCCUCUUGGAGUAUGUAUACCACUCGAAGGCGAGCUUCUGGGUUGUACGCCCCAACUCCUGCAGCACCUCCCCCGGAUGAAACAAAACAGAACACCUCACUGCUCUUACCAAGGCCCUCACUGCACUGACUCUACCUGCCAGCGUCCAUUAUUAGGUAGAGGUGCUUAGUGCUGCUACCAGAGGUCCGAACAUAAAGGGCUAGAGAAGAGAAAAGAAAACUCAGGAGUUUCCGGAGUCAUUGUCAUCCACUUCUUAGGUACAAAGUGUUCCGUGAAAAGCGGGCACCUCCCAUGACAUUUGCUAUUUCUUCCUUUCCUCUCCUUUUUCCUGUUUUUAAUCUGAAUGCUUGGCCGCUGGUCUGUCUUCAUGGCUUUACACUAAUCAGUAAGAAAGAAACAGAGGUUGCACCAUGGCUCCCCCGUGGUUAAUGGAAGAGCGCGAGAAGGACAGACUGGGAGGAUGAGAUGAUCCAUGCUCAGGCACAAAUUCUUCUUCACUCCAGCAAUGCGGGGCGUGACCGUCCACCCUCUUCCUCCACCUCUCAAACCCCCUCAUCUGGCACUGUGCCACCUGGAUCGUAAUGGACCCCAACGAAGGAGGAGUCCCUAUACGAGGAUGGAAGCACAACAGGCAAAUCCCUGGAGGAAAGGCAACAGACUUUUUGUUUUUAGUGAAAAUUAACUAGAAAGUCUCCCAACCAGGGACAACCUCCUUGGAAAAAUGUGGCCUUUGGGCAACUGCUCCACAUUUGUUAACUAAGACUUGACAGACCCAAGGAAAAUGGAUCAACAGGACAAAUGACCAGGCCACUCGGAGGCCAUGUCAACUGUGGGGGUAUACCAGAGAUCACACGGUGCCUUGCUGGGCUCGCUCAACAAGACACUGGAGUCAAAAGCCCUGGUUUGCAUUCUGACCAUGCCUAUGGCUUCCGUGCUCUGGGACUCAUCAGCAAACUGGGUUUUGUAAUGCCAGCCCUUCUCAGGAUUUGUGUGAUGAAGAUUAUACUUAAAAAUAUCUAUGUAGUUUAAAAGGCGCUAUGUCAACUCCAAAAGGAGCUUGGGAGUAUAUUUAUAUGUAUAUAAAUGGGUAUACAUUUGGUAUACAUUUAAAUGUCUAAACACUGGCUGUUACUAUUCAAAAAGACUUUUCCAGAAUUUGAGAGAAGGUUAUUUUAUAAUAGAACAAUUACAACAAAAAAUAAUUAAAACAGGGGUGCCUGAGUGGCUAAGUCAGUUAAGUGCUUGACUCUUGAUCUCAGCUCGAGUCUUGAUCUCAGUGUCAUGAGUUCAAGCCCCUCAUUGGGGAACCUAAUUUAAAAAAAAAUAAAAUAUAAAUAAUGAGACUGGCUAAGUAAGUAGCCCAAGAAACUGCCUGUAAAUUCAUGGCUGAAGAGAUCUAGAGCAACCCCAAUUCAACCCAAGUGACCUUAGUGUAAUCUCGGAGAGUCAGGAUUCCAAUGUGAUUAGAAGUAAAAAAGCCUAAGUUGAAUCAUGUUAUUCUCUUCUCUAUCCAUUCACUUUUCUAUAUGAUCUUCUGUCAUCCAUUCAUCCAUCCAUCCUCUGUCAUGUCUAACAUGUGAUAAACACAGACUACUCUGCACCAGCGUACACAGGUAAGACAUAGAAUCUGCUCUCAGAGAGCCCAUGCCAAGUACUGGGAAAUAGUAUAAUCAGAAAGGAGAAUUACGUGCUGUAAGUAUAAUAACAGAAGUCACUGCACAGUAGUGGGGGUUCACACAGGAUGGAAGGGACAACUCUGCCUGCACCUCUUGUUCUUACAAUCCCUGCUCACCAAGUGACCUUCUGAUUAUAAUUUGGCUCCCUUGGGGAUUGUCCUUCAGAGGAAGAUGUACCAACUGGGGCACGUAAGUCAUUUUGCUUGGGGUUGGUGGUGACAUUGCUUUUUGUAAAACAGAAAGAUUUGUGUUAUAAUGUAGUCAGUUUCCCUGGACUCGAUUAGCAUGAUCACCUCUGAGUUUCUGGACUAGGCUGACUCAAUCAUGCCCUUCCGUGAGGCUGGGCCAGCACUGCCAGCUGGGCUGCCCUCUGCUUUUGCACCGUCCUGUUCUAUAAAUACUGCAGGAGGGUGGUUUUAGCUGGUAUGGGAACUUCCUCUAUCCUUCUGCUUUCAAAAAUCAUGUGUCCCACUCUUUUCUGUAAGCCAGUGACUGCUACCUCUUCACUUCCCCUCUAGCUGUUCCACCAAAAGAAACACCUGGCGCUGGUUUUUAGCAUUUUAGCUUGGCCAAGGCUCUCCUUGUUAACCCACCCAGUGGCCCUUUCUGUCUCUCCGUCUGCAGAGCUUGCUGACCGCCACUCCCUUUUUCACGGGGCUUCCGUGAUGAUGAGUGAUUAUUAUCCUCUUGUUUCUUUGAGUGAUGUUGCUCCUCUUGCUUCUCUUCCUCUUUAACAGUGGGCUUUCUCAAGGUCCCCCUCAAUGUCUAGAAAGAAGGAAGCAGGAGGGUCCUACCAAUGCCCCCAUUUCUACCAUAAUUUCUAAGCAGAUGGCUCCCAAAUCUCCAGCUUCAUACCUCUCCUGCAUUCCAGACCCAUAUUUCCGACUCAUUUGUUGGACAGUGGCACUGACCAUCCCAUCAGCACUUCAGAAAUCAGUUUCCAGAAGUGAACUCAUAGGCAUUUUGUCUUUAUUGCCAAUGGCCUGUCUCAGUCCGCCCCCUCACCUCGGUUCACACCUUCCUCCCUUCCACCCUCACUGUCCUGGCAUUUGUGCAGGUCCUCAGCCCGUUGGGAUAAGUAGUGCUGACUGUCUCUCCCCAGCCUGGUGUUCCACUCUCUCCUUUCACCCUAGUACAGGCUUCACACAGGACAGGUGAGGAUGGAACUCUGUGUCAAACCAUUGGAUUCUUCUUUCCAGGUUGACAAAUACUAAGGGACAGGUUAGAUAGAGACUGGCUUUCAGAUUUCACCUCUACCCCACCAAUCUUGUCCGCAGACCUUGGACAAGGUAGUUAACCACUCUGAAUACAGCUCCCUCUUCAAUCAUAGUGGGGUGGCUAUUUGCUACACCUCAGGCUGAGAGGAGGAAACUUGGUAGAUCCCACCCCGUGAUAUUUGUUGGUAUCUUGGCUGAAAUGAAAGAGGAAAAGAAGACAAUUUGAUUUGCCUUGCUUGGCCUGCAGUGCCCAGCCCUGUGUACUGUACAUGGUCAGAACUCAAAUAUUUGUACUGCCUUUUCAAUAAGGAACUCUAUUUUAGCAAGUCCCAAGUAGAGGAAGAUAUCUCUAAGGGCUAGGGCCAUCCUUUUAAGGGAUAAUUUUUCUUUCUUCAAGCAGUUACCAGGAUUGACAAUCUUUUUCUCUGACCAUCAAAUCUAAAUCAUUUUACCAGCCUGAUGAAUAGCUGCCCAUUGCAUACCCAGCUGGGGAGGAAGGAGACCCAGUGAGGCUAGAAGUCAUCUCUGUGUGAGCCAGAUUUGUUUUGUGAUUCUCUACUGAGGCCCCUUCAGGGUGGCUGCAAUCACUCUGCAAUCAGUGGCUGGGCAUAAAACAAAUAGGUGAAAUUUUUAAAAACUGGAUUGGGGUUGCAAGAGGGUAGAGGUGGGAAUGGAAGUUAACGGAAAUGGGAUUGUUUAUUCUCUUAUCCUAAGGGCAACUCAAUAACUGCCCCUGGAAAUCUGAAAUGCUAUAAAGGAAGUGCUUUAUUUAUGGAGGUCACAGUGAAGCAUGUCCAUGAUAAGCUGUGUCUGCCCUGGGCUGUGACCGGACACAGGGGAGGGACCCGAUUGUCUCCUAGGUCCCUUCCAGCUCUUGAUCCUAUGACACUGUGUCCACCAUGGGCAGUGUAGCCCAGAAUCACUCUGGGUGGAUGGGUCUGAAGGCUUCACUCUGCUUUGAUGGUUCAAAGGAUUCGACAGCAAGAAUUUACCCCAAUUUCUUUUCCUCACUCAGUAAUGACGGUGACAAAUCUUAUUCUCAGUUAGAUUCGAAUUUUCAGAUUUCCUACUCAACACUUGCUGUUUUCUAACACACGCACGCGAGAAUCAGGACUUACACAUGGACGGAAUCAAUUAUAAUUUGAUUAAGACGGAGCAGAAAGAAUGGAAGUAAUAACAAUCAUUUCAUAUAAGCCUUCCUUCCCCACCCAGGCUUUGGGUGUACCAAAAAAAAAAAAAAGGUAAUUAAAAC
Molecule: long non-coding RNA, 4697 nt
Organism: Canis lupus familiaris (dog)
Lineage: Eukaryota; Metazoa; Chordata; Mammalia; Carnivora; Canidae
Exons: 3
Source: RefSeq, a predicted model, not a curated record